UACAGAGGUCUCAAGCGUUGUUCGGAUUCAUUGGGCGUAAAGGGCUCGUAGGCGGCCAACUAAGUCAGACGUGAAAUCCCUCGGCUUAACCGGGGAACUGCGUCUGAUACUGGAUGGCUUGAGUUUGGGAGAGGGAUGCGGAAUUCCAGGUGUAGCGGUGAAAUGCGUAGAUAUCAGGAGGAACACCGGUGGCGAAGGCGGGUCUCUGGACCGAUACUGACGCUGAGGUGCGAAAGCGUGGGGAGCAAACAGG
RNAcentral lists this ribosomal RNA (253 nucleotides) under uncultured bacterium. RNAcentral's name for it is "partial 16S ribosomal RNA". It matches the Rfam family "Bacterial small subunit ribosomal RNA", at positions 524 to 776 of the family's 1533-position model. The record is from RNAcentral.